Molecule: long non-coding RNA, 875 nt
Organism: Gigantopelta aegis
Lineage: Eukaryota; Metazoa; Mollusca; Gastropoda; Neomphalida; Peltospiridae
Exons: 6
Source: RefSeq, a predicted model, not a curated record
CCGGAUAUUAAAAGUGACGCCAACUUCACAAAGCAUUCUGCUACUUUUGCUGAUAAUGACACAACAAAAAUAGACCUAAUGGAUUUCUACAUAUUUAUUCCUAUAUAUUGCAGAGUUCUGUUAUGUUCGACUUUGUGCAAAGCUGAAAUGACCUUACUACCCGAUGAGAAUUAACAUCCCAUAUCCCUUGACAACUUAACUAAUGACUCUACAGGCCCAUUAUUGAUGCUGUGCACUGCACUGUGUACCCACCCUGAGAAGUUUCUGCUGAAAGUUGUGGGUCUUGUUUUUUGACACCCCGCAACACACAGUGCUGGUAUGUUCAUGCAGAGACACAGGAGCCGGAAGUUUUGAACCCCAAUGGGCAUUUUCGUUAGACCGAUCUGCACUGACACAUUUGGCUGAGCUGCCUUAUGACCUCGACACUUUCGCUUUGGAUUGUCCACCUCUGUGUACAAGUUGUACAUACCAGAGUGAAACCUAGUCUAUCUCACAAAACUGAACAGAUUAGAUGCUGAUGCUGAGCUGUCUGUGUACUGGCUGUUCAUCGGAGUGUUAGCUCCAACCAGGACCAAUAGAAGAGGGGUGGGAAGCUGCAGCCCAUACGCUGUGACAGCUGUAUUACAGAUUCAGCGGGCCCGUUGUUGAUGCUGUGUACUGCGCUGUGAGCUCUGCCGGCAAAGGUUUUUGAGAAUGUUGUGUGUCUCGAAAGGUACCUGGUGUCAAGAAGAAAAUGCGGUUCGAUGUUAGUGACAUUUUCCUGAUAUAGUUCAGUGGCAGUUUUGAAACCCUUUGUUUCCGGAUCUGUCGUCAGGUAUUGUACUUCUAAAUUGUUCUUACUUUUAAUUUGUAGUAAACAAUCUUUUGCCCAUUCC